AGGAGGUCCUAAAUACAGAGGAGACCAAAAAUGGAAGCUGAAUAUGGAAAAUCAUCCUCUGUAAAGACUCCAUUGAUAGAUGACCGAGAAAAACAGAGUAUUCUCGAUGGAGAAAGAAAAAAUGGUGGUGGUUUUAGCAAGGAAGAGAUUGUUGAGGAAGUGAAGAGACAAGUAUGGCUAGCAGGACCUUUAGUGAGCGUUAACCUUUUGCAGUUUUCUU
This 220-nucleotide unclassified non-coding RNA is filed under the name Hevea brasiliensis (rubber tree). The record is from RNAcentral. Lineage: Eukaryota; Viridiplantae; Streptophyta; Magnoliopsida; Malpighiales; Euphorbiaceae.